AACGAACGCUGGCGGCGUGCUUAAUACAUGCAAGUCAAACGUGAAACCUUAGCUUGCUAAGGCGGAAAGUGGCGAACGGGUGAGUAACACGUAAGUAAUCUACCUCUAAGCUCGGAAUAACCUUGCCAACGCGGGGCUAAUACCGGAUGUGAUCAUGAAGAUGCAUGUCUUUGUGAUUAAAGGUGCAAACCACUAAGAGAUGAGCUUGCGGCCCAUUAGUUUGUUGGUGGGGUAAUGGCCUACCAAGACUGUGAUGGGUAGCCGGCCUGAGAGGGUGAGCGGCCACAUUGGGACUGAGAUACGGCCCAGACUCCUACGGGAGGCAGCAGUAGGGAAUUUUGCGCAAUGGGCGAAAGCCUGACGCAGCAACGCCGCGUGAAGGAUGAAGGUUCUCGGAUUGUAAACUUCUGUUAAGUGGGAAGAAAAGCCUUCGGGUCUGACGGUACCACUUGAGUAAGCACCGGCUAACUACGUGCCAGCAGCCGCGGUAAUACGUAGGGUGCGAGCGUUGUUCGGAAUUACUGGGCGUAAAGGGAGUGUAGGCGGAAUCGUAAGUUAGAAGUUUAAUAUGCGGGCUUAACCCGUAGUCUGCUUUUAAUACUGCGGUUCUUGAGUAUGGGAGAGGGUGAUGGAAUUCCAGGUGUAGCGGUGGAAUGCGUAGAUAUCUGGAAGAACACCAGUAGCGAAGGCGGUCGCCUGGCCCAAUACUGACGCUGAUGCUCGAAAGCUAGGGGAGCAAACAGGAUUAGAUACCCUGGUAGUCCUAGCUGUAAACGAUGGACACUAGUUGCUGGAGGAGUCAAUCUUUUCAGUGACGAAGCUAACGCAUUAAGUGUCCCGCCUGGGAAGUACGCCCGCAAGGGUGAAACUCAAAGGAAUUGACGGGGGCCCGCACAAGCGGUGGAGUAUGUGCUUUAAUUCGAUGCAACGCGAAGAACCUUACCUGGAUUUGACAUGGGAGUGAAAGUUUUCAGAGAUGAAUUCCUUUCCGCAAGGAACACUCUACACAGGUGCUGCAUGGUUGUCGUCAGCUCGUGUCGUGAGAUGUUGGGUUAAGUCCCGCAACGAGCGCAACCCUCGCCCUUAGUUGCCAUCAGGUUAUGCUGGGAACUCUAAGGGGACCGCCUAGUUUAACUAGGAGGAAGGUGGGGAUGACGUCAAAUCAUCAUGGCCCUUACGUCCAGGGCUAGACACGUACUACAAUGGUCGGUACAACGGGAUGCAAGACGGUGACGUUUAGCUAAUCCCUUAAAACCGGUCUCAGUCCGGAUUGAAGUCUGCAAUUCGACUUCAUGAAGCUGGAAUCGCUAGUAAUCGCGGAUCAGCAUGCCGCGGUGAAUACGUUCCCGGGCCUUGUACACACCGCCCGUCAAGCCACGAAAGAUGGCAGUACCCGAAGUCGCUUCUCUAACCGCAAGGAAGAGUGCGCCGAAGGUAAGGCUGUUAAUUGGGGCUAAGUCGUAACAAGGUAGCCG
This 1475-nucleotide ribosomal RNA is filed under the name uncultured bacterium. Its description in RNAcentral is "bacterial SSU rRNA". It matches the Rfam family "Bacterial small subunit ribosomal RNA". The record is from RNAcentral.